Molecule: long non-coding RNA, 292 nt
Organism: Dalotia coriaria
Lineage: Eukaryota; Metazoa; Arthropoda; Insecta; Coleoptera; Staphylinidae
Exons: 2
Source: RefSeq, a predicted model, not a curated record
GAGAAUUCGAACAGGAAUUACUCAAGGAAUAAUGAAGUUCAGCUUCGUCAUCUGUCCCUGGGCCAAUUGAACACAUUCUACAAAGAAAAACAUGUAUGUGACUUUGAAUGCAGCAGUGAAGCACUGAAGUGUAUCGACGAUCGUGCAUUAUUUAAAUAUUCCUGGAAAUCAAAAAUAAUGCAAACAGUUUCAAUCGACUUACGCCUGCUACUUGAACAAAUAAUCUCCAUGCUAUAUAAUGCCAUGCAAUGUUAGUAAUGAAAUAGAAGCAGACAAACAUGAAAUGCAAUAA